Molecule: long non-coding RNA, 247 nt
Organism: Helicoverpa zea (corn earworm)
Lineage: Eukaryota; Metazoa; Arthropoda; Insecta; Lepidoptera; Noctuidae
Exons: 2
Source: RefSeq, a predicted model, not a curated record
UUAACAUAGUCAAUAAUAUUCAAUAGUUCCAGGGGGAAGAUGCAACAAAGAAACAGGAUCCGGAUGUCAAUGUGUUUCUCAGCUUGUAUUGGAGGGAAAUCAUGAUCCAUACCCGAGAUCGAUGGCCGAUCUCGAUACGCGGCGCGGCUAUUUCGAAAUAGUUUCUCAAAAUAUCUAUAUGUAAAAAUAAACCACAUAACGAUUAAUGAACAAGACAGGCAUAAAUAAAUAAAAUGAGAUUCAUGAA